AGAUAUUCAUGGAUAAAUAAAUAAUUUUUGAAAAGAACACAAAAUUCGCGAUAUUUUUAUAACACACCUCGUACUAAAGGUGAAGGCACAAUAGUGUAUUUAAAUACAGUAUGACAACUAUUUGAUCACUUACCAUUUCCUUUGUUAAAAUAAACUUUUCAAUAAAAAAAGGCAAGUUUACUUAGUAGAAUUUGUGAAAUAGAGAGUUAUUAGUGAACAUAAUAUUGCUCAGCUUUUCAAGUUUUUCUUUUUAUUUUGUAAUUAAUAGUGGUGAAGUCCUUAGAAUCAAGUUUUUAGUAAAAGCUCAGUUUUUCUACAUUUUUCUUGGUUAUUUUAUUAAGCUUCAGCAUAGAUGAAAAAACUAAAUGCUACGAAAAUAGAAGUAAUCAAAAGCCUUUUUGAUUUAAACACAAAACACAGAAAAGUUCCAAGAAUUGUUGGAGCUUCUGUGGCUGUGGUUUUAAAAUUGUUGUUUACACAAAAAAAGCAAGCCUGAACGAAUGCCAAUUUUGAACGCCAGACUGGAAAGAUCAGUGUUCGAUUCUGUAACUUUUUCCACACGAUUUGACGGAUCGCGUUUCUGCUUUGAAAAAUUAUUCUAGAAUGCCUACGAAAACAAGAAACCGAGCCUCGAUGGAGCAACUAAUUCGGAUGAUGGAUUUUUUCACAGAAACCACGGGUUUGGCAGGGUCUCGGUUCCAGAAGCGUCAUGGAAUAUCGGACGGCAAUUGGAAGUGGAGCAAAUUAGCUAGUAUGGAGCGAUUUGAAAAGCCGUACAAGCAUCAAGGUCCGAUGCCGGAAAAGAAAGCGCGCAAUUACAGGAAACACUCCCAUGAUGAGGAGCCACUCACCGAAUUAGGGACAGGCCAUUGCCCUUGUAGGUAAUGACUAUGUCCACUGCCACGAAAUCGUUCCUGAAACUGUGCCUGUAGAGGAGGAACCGCAACGGUAAUUAGAGGAGGGUGAAGAAAGUCUAAUUGUCGAGAUUCCUUCAUUUUCAAAUGGGGUCGAUUUUUAGAUGCAUGCAUCGACUCCUGCGACUCAAACUACAAAAAUUCCACGAAGAAGCAGUAAGAGAAGACUUGUGGAAGAUGUGAACGAUACGCGAAACUUUUACAAAUUGCGCAAACAGAGCGGAUGCCUUAAAAACGUUAGCAGAGUCGAGUGCAGCGUCCACCCAAGUUGCAUGCAGGCAAACUGAUGCCUUACAGUUUUUAGCUGGAAGUAAUGCGGCGACCACGCAGGCAUUAACAGAGGCUAUGUCCACAAUGCGUGAGAGAUUACAAGCUUGUGCAGCGGACUUCAACAAUUUAGCAGGGGCAAUUAGCCGUAUGUAAAUAUGGAUGUAAAUAAA
RNAcentral lists this long non-coding RNA (1354 nucleotides) under Ceratitis capitata (Mediterranean fruit fly). RNAcentral's name for it is "uncharacterized LOC110118181, transcript variant X2". The record is from RNAcentral. Lineage: Eukaryota; Metazoa; Arthropoda; Insecta; Diptera; Tephritidae.